GGGGUCGUAGCUCAGGGGAUAGAGCAAGAGUUUCCUAAACUCUGUGCCGGCGGUUCGAUUCCGCCCGGCCCCU
This 73-nucleotide transfer RNA is filed under the name Armatimonadota bacterium. Its description in RNAcentral is "Armatimonadetes bacterium (rhizosphere metagenome) tRNA-Arg". It matches the Rfam family "tRNA". Rfam says of the family: Transfer RNA (tRNA) molecules are approximately 80 nucleotides in length. Their secondary structure includes four short double-helical elements and three loops (D, anti-codon, and T loops). The record is from RNAcentral. Lineage: Bacteria; Bacillati; Armatimonadota.